GAGGGUAUAGCUCAGUGGUAGAGCACAUGCGUGCUUAUUAGCAUGCAUGAAGUCCUGAGUUCAAACUCCAGCACCUCCU
Molecule: transfer RNA, 79 nt
Organism: Camelus ferus (Wild Bactrian camel)
Lineage: Eukaryota; Metazoa; Chordata; Mammalia; Artiodactyla; Camelidae
Rfam family: tRNA
About the family: Transfer RNA (tRNA) molecules are approximately 80 nucleotides in length. Their secondary structure includes four short double-helical elements and three loops (D, anti-codon, and T loops). Further hydrogen bonds mediate the characteristic L-shaped molecular structure. tRNAs have two regions of fundamental functional importance: the anti-codon, which is responsible for specific mRNA codon recognition, and the 3' end, to which the tRNAs corresponding amino acid is attached (by aminoacyl-tRNA synthetases). tRNAs cope with the degeneracy of the genetic code in two manners: having more than one tRNA (with a specific anti-codon) for a particular amino acid; and 'wobble' base-pairing, i.e. permitting non-standard base-pairing at the 3rd anti-codon position.
Source: Rfam